UUAAGCGACUAAGCGUACACGGUGGAUGCCCUGGCAGUCAGAGGCGAUGAAGGACGUGCUAAUCUGCGAAAAGCGUCGGUAAGGUGAUAUGAACCGUUACAGCCGGCGAUGUCCGAAUGGGGAAACCCAGUGCAAUUCGUUGCACUAUCGUUAACUGAAUACAUAGGUUAACGAGGCGAACCGGGGGAACUGAAACAUCUAAGUACCCCGAGGAAAAGAAAUCAACCGAGAUUCCCCCAGUAGCGGCGAGCGAACGGGGAGCAGCCCAGAGUCUGAAUCAGCUUGUGUGUUAGUGGAACGGUCUGGAAAGUCCGACGGUACAGGGUGAUAGUCCCGUACACCAAAAUGCACAGGCUGUGAACUCGAAGAGUAGGGCGGGACACGUGGUAUCCUGUCUGAAUAUGGGGGGACCAUCCUCCAAGGCUAAAUACUCCUGACUGACCGAUAGUGAACCAGUACCGUGAGGGAAAGGCGAAAAGAACCCCGGCGAGGGGAGUGAAAAAGAACCUGAAACCGUGUACGUACAAGCAGUGGGAGCACCUUCGGGUGUGACUGCGUACCUUUUGUAUAAUGGGUCAGCGACUUAUAUUCUGUAGCAAGGUUAACCGUAUAGGGGAGCCGCAGGGAAACCGAGUCUUAACUGGGCGUUAAGUUGCAGGGUAUAGACCCGAAACCCGGUGAUCUAGCCAUGGGCAGGUUGAAGGUUGGGUAACACUAACUGGAGGACCGAACCGACUAAUGUUGAAAAAUUAGCGGAUGACUUGUGGCUGGGGGUGAAAGGCCAAUCAAACCGGGAGAUAGCUGGUUCUCCCCGAAAGCUAUUUAGGUAGCGCCUCGUGAACUCAUCUUCGGGGGUAGAGCACUGUUUCGGCUAGGGGGUCAUCCCGACUUACCAACCCGAUGCAAACUACGAAUACCGAAGAAUGUUAUCACGGGAGACACACGGCGGGUGCUAACGUCCGUCGUGAAGAGGGAAACAACCCAGACCGCCAGCUAAGGUCCCAAAGUCAUGGUUAAGUGGGAAACGAUGUGGGAAGGCACAGACAGCCAGGAUGUUGGCUUAGAAGCAGCCAUCAUUUAAAGAAAGCGUAAUAGCUCACUGGUCGAGUCGGCCUGCGCGGAAGAUGUAACGGGGCUAAACCAUGCACCGAAGCUGCGGCAGCGACACGAUGUGUUGUUGGGUAGGGGAGCGUUCUGUAAGCCUGCGAAGGUGGCCUGUGAGGGUUGCUGGAGGUAUCAGAAGUGCGAAUGCUGACAUAAGUAACGAUAAAGCGGGUGAAAAGCCCGCUCGCCGGAAGACCAAGGGUUCCUGUCCAACGUUAAUCGGGGCAGGGUGAGUCGACCCCUAAGGCGAGGCCGAAAGGCGUAGUCGAUGGGAAACAGGUUAAUAUUCCUGUACUUGGUGUUACUGCGAAGGGGGGACGGAGAAGGCUAUGUUAGCCGGGCGACGGUUGUCCCGGUUUAAGCAUGUAGGCUGGUUAUCCAGGCAAAUCCGGAUAAUCAAGGCUGAGGUGUGAUGACGAGGCACUACGGUGCUGAAGUAACAAAUGCCCUGCUUCCAGGAAAAGCCUCUAAGCAUCAGGUAACAUCAAAUCGUACCCCAAACCGACACAGGUGGUCAGGUAGAGAAUACCAAGGCGCUUGAGAGAACUCGGGUGAAGGAACUAGGCAAAAUGGUGCCGUAACUUCGGGAGAAGGCACGCUGGUGUGUAGGUGAAGUCCCUGCGGAUGGAGCUGAGACCAGUCGAAGAUACCAGCUGGCUGCAACUGUUUAUUAAAAACACAGCACUGUGCAAACACGAAAGUGGACGUAUACGGUGUGACGCCUGCCCGGUGCCGGAAGGUUAAUUGAUGGGGUUAUCCGUAAGGAGAAGCUCUUGAUCGAAGCCCCGGUAAACGGCGGCCGUAACUAUAACGGUCCUAAGGUAGCGAAAUUCCUUGUCGGGUAAGUUCCGACCUGCACGAAUGGCGUAAUGAUGGCCAGGCUGUCUCCACCCGAGACUCAGUGAAAUUGAACUCGCUGUGAAGAUGCAGUGUACCCGCGGCAAGACGGAAAGACCCCGUGAACCUUUACUAUAGCUUGACACUGAACAUUGAGCCUUGAUGUGUAGGAUAGGUGGGAGGCUUUGAAGCGUGGACGCCAGUCUGCGUGGAGCCAACCUUGAAAUACCACCCUUUAAUGUUUGAUGUUCUAACGUUGGCCCCUUACCGGGGUUGCGGACAGUGUCUGGUGGGUAGUUUGACUGGGGCGGUCUCCUCCCAAAGCGUAACGGAGGAGCACGAAGGUUAGCUAAUCCUGGUCGGACAUCAGGAGGUUAGUGCAAUGGCAUAAGCUAGCUUGACUGCGAGCGUGACGGCGCGAGCAGGUGCGAAAGCAGGUCAUAGUGAUCCGGUGGUUCUGAAUGGAAGGGCCAUCGCUCAACGGAUAAAAGGUACUCCGGGGAUAACAGGCUGAUACCGCCCAAGAGUUCAUAUCGACGGCGGUGUUUGGCACCUCGAUGUCGGCUCAUCACAUCCUGGGGCUGAAGUAGGUCCCAAGGGUAUGGCUGUUCGCCAUUUAAAGUGGUACGCGAGCUGGGUUUAGAACGUCGUGAGACAGUUCGGUCCCUAUCUGCCGUGGGCGCUGGAGAAUUGAGGGGGGCUGCUCCUAGUACGAGAGGACCGGAGUGGACGCAUCACUGGUGUUCGGGUUGUCAUGCCAAUGGCACUGCCCGGUAGCUAAAUGCGGAAGAGAUAAGUGCUGAAAGCAUCUAAGCACGAAACUUGCCCCGAGAUGAGUUCUCCCUGAGACUUUAAGUCUCCUGAAGGAACGUUGAAGACGACGACGUUGAUAGGCCGGGUGUGUAAGCGCAGCGAUGCGUUGAGCUAACCGGUACUAAUGAACCGUGAGGCUUAACCUU
RNAcentral lists this ribosomal RNA (2900 nucleotides) under Klebsiella pneumoniae. Its description in RNAcentral is "bacterial LSU rRNA". It matches the Rfam family "Bacterial large subunit ribosomal RNA". The record is from RNAcentral. Lineage: Bacteria; Pseudomonadati; Pseudomonadota; Gammaproteobacteria; Enterobacterales; Enterobacteriaceae. RNAcentral also lists the same sequence under 1 other name.